Cyprinus carpio (common carp) is the source of this 1762-nucleotide long non-coding RNA. The record is from Ensembl. NCBI's taxonomy places the organism in Eukaryota, Metazoa, Chordata, Actinopteri, Cypriniformes, Cyprinidae.
AUCAAAUUUGUGAUACAUUUCUAAUUUGUGCCUGUUCGUGAUUCCAGUAAUAACAAACAUUCCCCCAGUUUCACAGACAAGGCUCUAUCUAGUCUUAGACUAAAAUGCAUGUUGAACUGUUUUAACAGAAAGCAACUUGUAUUGGUCUAUCUUAAAAUAUGUCCGUUUCAUUGUUAUGUCUCAAGAUACAAACAGUUAAUGUUUUUUCUGAAAACGGACCAUUAAGUUAUAGGUGACACAUUCAAGUGAUUUAGUCUAUGUUGAUAUGGUAGUCUCUAUAGAAGUACUUGGUUAUGUUUUUAUUUUAUUUCCCUCUUUUUAUUUGGCAGGACGGCUCCGCACUGUCACAGUCAAUAUGUGUGCGUGUGAACUAGAAACCACCGUAGGAUUGUACAGUUGCAUGCAAAAGUAUUCUUGAUAUUUUUCUAUCAAAUAACAACUUCUGAGUGAACCACCAUCAUCACCACGUUACCAUACGAAAUAGUGUUUUCACUGACUGCUGCUUAUACCGUAGGUUAACACACUCUACAGAGCCCUGGUGGGGGAAUCCAUAUCCCAUUUUAGGCAUCAGCACUUCCGACAAAGAAGUUUGGUAGAUAUUUGCCCACAAUUAGAUGAUGGGACCAUAUGCCCAGCAUGUCCAAAGGCAGAUGGAGAUAUGAUUGUGACAUUGGAUGCCAACUUUGGACUUGUGAGGAAGCAAAGCUCCGGUACAAGUGCAGUUGAGCCAUUACAUGGAACCCGCAUGUUUGUUGAUGAAAAGGAUGUAGAGGAAUACCUGCUAUCACAUCUUGACAGCUCAAAGCCUCAUGAGGACUGCAGUAACUUCAAGGCUGGCAACGUGCUGAGGUCACAAAAACAAGCAAAGAAACUUGACGUUACAGGAGUGUUCGGAGCCUGACAAUGACAAAACUAGAAAGAGUGUCACAUCCCUUACAAACUGUCAAAGACACAUACAGAAUCUAUAACCAGAAUCAAUUUCAGUUCAGUUUUAUUUAUAUAGUGCCAAUUCAUAACAAAAAUUCUCACAGCACUUUUUAAACAAAGUAGGUCUAGACCAUACACUUUAUAAUAUUAUUAACAAAGACCCAACAAUUCCCACCAUGAACAAGCACUACUGUAGGUGUUAACUAUUGUUAACAUGUAACCUUAUCAAUUAGAGCCCGAAUCUGAUGAUGCAGAUGACCAAGCUGAUCGAUCAACUUUGCCAGUGCGACUCGACCAGAAUGUAUCAGAUUGGUAAGUUUGCAUUUGUUAUCGUAGAAAAGACAAAGACGUAGAAACGAUCUGUGCUCUCCGAGAUGCUAGAAACAGUCCUCCGAAAAAUGCGCAGCACACAGUUAAAUAUUUGGGUGGUACUGUUCUGGAACAGCCCUGGAAGGCCAAACAAAGUAGUUUGGCUUUUGAACGAAAAACACAGCAUCGGCGAGAAAAAAAGUUAUGCCUUCUUUCUUUGCGUAUACAUUUGGGAGGUGUUAUGAAACUCUGGCCCCACACACUGACGUAGAGAUGUGGGGGCUUGUUUGCCCGAAGUGUUUUAGGAAGGUGUGGCUGAGGCGUAACUUUUACAAAGAAUAUCUCUUUGGGUUUGAGACUUUGUAACUCUACAGAUCUUAUACUUGCACUAACAGCUACAUAAUACACUUAAGAAAGCCUAUCAGAAAAUCUCUUUAUUUCUUUUUUUUUUCGUAUUUCGAUUUGUUGUUAAAUCAAACUUCAGUCAUUCAAAUAAAGAAAUAUUAAGCUGAGAGUCGAUUAUUCA